Molecule: ribosomal RNA, 253 nt
Filed under: uncultured bacterium
Lineage: Bacteria
Description: partial 16S ribosomal RNA
Rfam family: Bacterial small subunit ribosomal RNA
Source: RNAcentral
UACAGAGGUCCCAAGCGUUGUUCGGAUUCACUGGGCGUAAAGGGUGCGUAGGCGGUUAGGUAAGUCUGACGUGAAAUCUCCGGGCCUAACCCGGAAACUGCGUUGGAUACUAUCUGACUCGAGGAAUGGAGGGGAGACUGGAAUACUUGGUGUAGCAGUGAAAUGCGUAGAUAUCAAGUGGAACACCAGUGGCGAAGGCGAGUCUCUGGACAUUUCCUGACGCUGAGGCACGAAAGCCAGGGGAGCAAACGGG